This 466-nucleotide ribosomal RNA is filed under the name Tridens sp. n. 2 LBP12070. RNAcentral's name for it is "partial 16S ribosomal RNA". It matches the Rfam family "Bacterial large subunit ribosomal RNA", at positions 1838 to 2567 of the family's 2925-position model. Lineage: Eukaryota; Metazoa; Chordata; Actinopteri; Siluriformes; Trichomycteridae. The record is from RNAcentral.
ACUAAGUAUAGGAGGUCUUGCCUGCCCAGUGACUACAAGUUAAACGGCCGCGGUAUUUUGACCGUGCAAAGGUAGCGCAAUCACUUGUCUUUUAAAUAAAGACCUGUAUGAAUGGUAGAACGAGGGCUUAUCUGUCUCCCCCCUCCAGUCAAUGAAAUUGAUCUAUCCGUGCAGAAGCGGGUAUAAAAAUACAAGACGAGAAGACCCUUUGGAGCUUAAAAUGUAAAGUCACCUAUAUAAAGAUUUUCGGUUGGGGCGACCACGGGAGAUAAUAAAGCUCCCACGCGGAACGGGUAAAAAAUUAAGAGAGACAUCUCUAAAGCACAGAACAUCUGACCAAACAGCCGAUCAACGGACCAAGUUACCCUAGGGAUAACAGCGCAAUCCCCUUUCAGAGUUCCUAUCGACAAGGGGGUUUACGACCUCGAUGUUGGAUCAGGACAUCCUAAUGGUGCAGCCGCUAUUA